RNAcentral lists this ribosomal RNA (425 nucleotides) under uncultured Oscillatoria sp. RNAcentral's name for it is "bacterial SSU rRNA". It matches the Rfam family "Bacterial small subunit ribosomal RNA", at positions 356 to 795 of the family's 1533-position model. The record is from RNAcentral. Lineage: Bacteria; Bacillati; Cyanobacteriota; Cyanophyceae; Oscillatoriales; Oscillatoriaceae.
GGGGAAUCUUCCGCAAUGGGCGCAAGCCUGACGGAGCAAGACCGCGUGCGAGAGGUCGACCUAUUGGUUGUAAACCGCUUUUGAUAGGGAAGAAGCUCUGACGGUACCUAUCGAAUCAGCAUCGGCUAACUCCGUGCCAGCAGCCGCGGUAAUACGGAGGAUGCAAGCGUUAUCCGGAAUUAUUGGGCGUAAAGCGUCCGUAGGUGGUUGUUCAAGUCUGCUGUUAAAGCGUGCGGUUUUUUCGCAUACCAGCAGUGGAAACUGGGCGUCUAGAGUGCGGUAGGGGUCAGGGGAAUUCCCAGGGUAGCGGUGAAAUGCGUAGAUAUUGGGAAGAACACCAGCGGCGAAAGCGCGUGACUGGGCUCUGAACUGACACUGAGGGACGAAAGCUAGGGGAGCGAAUGGGAUUAGAUACCCCACUAGUC